ACUCCUACGGGAGGCAGCAGUGGGGAAUUUUGCACAAUGGGGGAAACCCUGAUGCAGCAACGCCGCGUGGAGGAUGAAGUCCCUUGGGAUGUAAACUCCUUUCGACCGGGACGAUUAUGACGGUACCGGUGGAAGAGGCCCCGGCUAACUCUGUGCCAGCAGCCGCGGUAAUACAGAGGGGGCAAGCGUUGUUCGGAAUUAUUGGGCGUAAAGGGUGCGUAGGCGGUGCGGUAAGUCUUCUGUGAAAUCUCCGGGCUCAACUCGGAGCCUGCAGGAGAAACUGCCGUGCUUGAGUAUGGGAGAGGUGAGUGGAAUUCCUGGUGUAGCGGUGAAAUGCGUAGAUAUCAGGAGGAACACCUGUGGCGAAAGCGGCUCACUGGACCAUAACUGACGCUGAGGCACGAAAGCUAGGGGAGCAAACAGGAUUAGAUACCCUGGUAG
Molecule: ribosomal RNA, 441 nt
Filed under: uncultured Edaphobacter sp.
Lineage: Bacteria; Pseudomonadati; Acidobacteriota; Terriglobia; Terriglobales; Acidobacteriaceae
Description: bacterial SSU rRNA
Rfam family: Bacterial small subunit ribosomal RNA
Source: RNAcentral